AGGAAACUGCAAGGAAUAUUUACGAACUUCACCACGACUUUUUGGGGCCGUCUAUAAACGGGGUCGUAUAGAAAGUCUACUUGUUUGCUCUUCCCUGCUGUGUGUGUGUGUGUGUGUGUGUGUGUGUGUGUGUGUGUGUGUGUGUGUGUGUGUGUGUGUAUGUGUGGGUGUGUGGCACCGUAACAGCGUGGUACGGAUAUUACAUAAUGCAAGAUUGAAUUCUGGGACCAGUGAGUUAUUAGAUUUCCGGAAACAAGUUAUCUACUACAGACAGCGUUCGUCCCCAGCAGCGCCGCGCCAGUCGCCACCACGCCACUUGUCAAGCGCCUCUGCCUCGUGCCCCUGUUCCAGCUCACCUACAUGAACCCCACCGCUUCAGCCUGGCAAUAUCUCACACCUGCCGAUACCGAUUCCCUUUCACCCUUCACCCAACACUCGCGGCAACAGCUCGCCUCCUGCUCCCCUACACACUCACGACAAACACUCAUCUAACUCAUUAAUGCUUCACAAAUCCUCGUCGCCCCGUUCAUGUCAACACCAGCCUUUCAUCAUGUUCUCCAGUUAUUUCUGUCGCCUCAGUUAUCAACGCAGCGUCAGCAUGGCGUCAGAAAGUUUAUGCCGGAAGAAGUGGAGGGUGGGGAGAAAGCCUUCUGCUUUGCUGUCCUUCUCUCCUACCAUCACCUAGCUCAGGUCACCUCGUGAGGACUGCAAGAUCGAGUCUCGCUAGGGGUUCGAUAUAUUACGAAGACAGGCAAUCAGAGUGAGAAUUUCUUCUGUGUCUAAGUAAUGAUGUAUGUCUAGAUUUUCAGGUAUAUUGGCUUAUAAGUAAGAGCAAUUUAUUAUAUUACCCAUCACUUCAAUGCUGGAGAUCAAGUUUUUUCCUUGGUAUAUCUUGUUUGUGACGAUUUUGAAGCGUCCGGACUGACUGCAGUACCUAGGGACCGUCUCACUUCCCGUCUUGUCCUCAUGUGCAUUGCCUUGUGCUCAGAAAUCUCCAUCCUUACAGCUGCUUUUGAUUACCUAAAUUCGUGUGUUUGAAUAUUUUAUAUACAAUAAUCCAGAUAAUAAUUCAUGUUACAUGAUAUAAAUGAAAAUACACCGCUCUGCACAACGCGAAGUGCAGGAAGGGCCGCUAGGUGGCGCACUCUCUGUCCGAGUGGAAGGAAGAAGUCGCACAUCGGUGCAUAUUUGUACCGUGAUUUUCGACUGUCUGGAGUCCUCGGCUGCUUUGUUGGUGAGGAAACACGGCACACGGAGGUUUCUCCAGCUGGGGAAAUCCACGCAAGUUGCAAACCUUACAGGAAAAAGUAAGGUAAUACUCCUGAAACGUGAAAAGGUUCUGUCACUCGUUCUCUUCACCCAUCAUGCAGUAGUGUUACUGAGAAGGCUACAAAAGGAAUGUCAGAUGUAGCAACGUGAACCGGGACUAAGUGGCUGGCUAUUAAGUUUCCGGGUUUCACAACUGGUUCGAACGAGCGUUGCUGCCUCCUUGUGACUGUUGGGGCCUCCGUGUAGAAAGUGCCUACUCCUCCCCACAGCGUUACACAGAGUGGGUGAUCGAAGCUAACAAGCCACUAAAUGAAACUGUAGUUGCGCUGGUGGUAGUUGAAUGACGAGGACGCCUCCCCACCGUGCCUGUUACAUGUUAUAAGCUUACCCUCCUCGGCUCACUGGUACGGCUUCACAGACUGCCAGAGAUGUCAUCACUCCACAGACCACUCCAAGUCCCAACGGCGUCUCUGGGAAGCAAGCAGACUGAGGAACUGAGGGAUCAUUUACUGACAAUCGCAGCUAAGUAACGAGAAAGUUAACAUUAGUAAUACAGGUAAAGGGUGGAGAUCAAGGUGCUACGAGGCAAGACACAUCAGUACCAGUAGAAGAAUAAUCGUGCUGUUGGGUUCAUUCAUAGUGAGGAUGUGAAGAAUUGAGAAAAAGAGAAUAUUAAUGAAGGUAGCGAGAAGAAUUUGUCAUGUAGAUUAACAGCUCUCAUAAAAGCAGCAGCGGUACGAAUAAUGGAAGGAUAUUAGAAUAGAGACAUGAAAGAGUGUAUUAGGGAGAGAGAGAGAGAGAGAGAGAGAGAGAGAGAGAGAGAGAGAGAGAGAGAGAGAGAGAGAGAGAGAGAGAGAGAGAGAUACAA
This is a long non-coding RNA of Scylla paramamosain (green mud crab), 2137 nucleotides long. RefSeq lists it as uncharacterized. NCBI's taxonomy places the organism in Eukaryota, Metazoa, Arthropoda, Malacostraca, Decapoda, Portunidae. The record is from RefSeq and is a predicted model, not a curated record. The transcript is spliced from 7 exons.